Molecule: long non-coding RNA, 232 nt
Organism: Lagopus leucura (white-tailed ptarmigan)
Lineage: Eukaryota; Metazoa; Chordata; Aves; Galliformes; Phasianidae
Exons: 3
Source: RefSeq, a predicted model, not a curated record
CACAAAAAAGAGAAUUUUUGGUUGAUGUCACUUCUAUCCCAUGGAAAGCAAGCUAUACUCCAGGAAUUGGUUUUGUCCCUCUUGGAGAGUGGUUAUACUGACUUGUAGUUAUUGGUGAUUAAACCAAAAAUGCAUCACUCUCAUCUGUCACUAUCUUGUAUUUUUUAGCAGGAGAUGGAAAACAGGCUAUUUUCAGUCUAAGGUGAGUUUUGUGCAUUUGUCAUUGCCCUGG